Long non-coding RNA from Hevea brasiliensis (rubber tree), 1407 nucleotides. RefSeq lists it as uncharacterized. The record is from RefSeq and is a predicted model, not a curated record. Lineage: Eukaryota; Viridiplantae; Streptophyta; Magnoliopsida; Malpighiales; Euphorbiaceae. The transcript is spliced from 2 exons.
UUUACUUGUGUACUCCUAAAGCAUAUUAACUUAAUGCAUAAUAAUGCAUUUUAGGUGAAUUUAGUCAUACUUUUACCAAUAGCUUCAUGCUUUUUAAGCUUGAAUGAAAUUUUCAUUUUUUAUGUUAAUUGCUUAUAAAAACAAGAGAUUUGUUUAUUUGAAUAUACAAAAUCGUUAACCACUUUUCAAUAAUACUAUUAAUCAUUAAUCAUGGUAAUAUUUGCUCUUAAAAUUAAAGCUAAACUCGAUAAUCUUAAGAAUUUACAACCUGCUGGAGGUCCUAAUAAUGGUUUACCAUAUUUUUUCAAGGUCAAGAAACGAAUUUUAUUUAUGUAAAUAUUUUAUUUAUUUUUAUUUAAUUUCAUUAAUAAUAUUUUUAAUAUAUUUUGUAUUACAGUUAAAAUGUACUCACUGUCAGGCAAUGAGUCAAAAAGAAGUUUGUAUGUAUUCCACCCAUCAAACAAUGAAGUACAAGAGUGCCUUUCUGGACUGAAACUUCUCACUCUGUCCGGCCGUCGUGAAGUCGUCGCCACUUGCCAUAUUCUUCUUUUCUCAAAAUCCUAAUGGAUUGUUGAUUUCCCCACCCUAUAAUCGCGAUUUGAGUGAGGAAUUGAGAGAUGCCAGUGCUGUCUCCUCUAACCACGGGAUCUCCGAAACCGGCAACACCUUGUCACACCGCCCUUCUUCGUCAGCAUAUAUUUCCGCCAGAAGUCGAUAGGGAAGGAGAUCUGAAAAGAAUAAUCUGGUAUGCGCGUGAACAGUGGUGAGCCAUACCACACAUUCUCAAUUCCUCAAUUUCGAUAGUUAGGACGGUAAAUGUAUUAUUGUUUUAAUAAUUUUUGAUGCAAAAUUUGGUCUUAAAAAUGAAUAUACACAUGCUGAACGGGGAAUUUGGACUCUGAACGGACAAUUUUCAAGUUUUGACUUUUACUAAUGCUUUAAAAUAUCAAAGAAUUAAGUAUUUUAGUUGCCUUUUGUCGGAAUUAAUGGUUUGGUGGGUGUUUUUGCUUUUGUGGUGCAAAUGGUAAUUCUUUAAAUUUUAGUGAAAUUUGGACAACCUAUUUGUAAAACUCCAUUUUCUUGUCAAAUCUGCUUCUAAAACCAUAUUUGUGAAUCUUCCAGACUGUCUAAUUCCACAAAGUGCUUCUGCUCCACAAACUCUAUUUCUUCUAGGGGUUCUCAUGUUGGCUGCUUUUAUUGUGUGGUCAUCCCCCUUAAUUGCUUGCUCUGUAUUUGCUUGUUUAUUUAUGACCAUAUUGUUUUCCAAAUACUCAAGCUGUAAUUUAUGUUGUUGAUUCAAGUGAUACUCAUGGAAUUGGAAUUGUCAAAGAAGAAUUUCAUGCGAUUUUGGUGGAUAGACAGUUUAAACAAUCCUAAUUUUAUUAUAGAUAUGAGGUUACAAUCAUA